Molecule: ribosomal RNA, 813 nt
Filed under: Triticum aestivum (bread wheat)
Lineage: Eukaryota; Viridiplantae; Streptophyta; Magnoliopsida; Poales; Poaceae
Description: partial small subunit ribosomal RNA
Source: RNAcentral
AUGGUAACCACCACGCUGCACGCCGCCGCCAACUUCCUGCCCGGCCCCGGCGCCGACUGGGACUGGUUCAUCAACCUCUCCGCCUCUGACUACCCGCUCGUCACGCAGGACGAUCUGAUGGACGUGUUCUCGCGGCUGCCGCGUGACCUCAACUUCAUCGACCACACGAGCGACACGGGCCGGAAAGCGUCCUCGAGGGCGAUGGCGGGGAUCGUCGACCCGGGGCUGUGGAAGAACGAUACCGAGAAGCAGGAGCUGCCCACCGCCUUCACACUCUUCAAAGGUUCUGCUUGGACGGUGUUGUCACGGCCAUUCGUCAAGUACUUGAUCCGGGGGUGGAACAACCUCCCGCGCACCCUCCUCGUCUCCUACGCCAACCUCGUCUCCUCUCCAGAGGCCUACUUCCACACCAUGGCCUGCAACGCCGAGGAGUUCCGGAACACCACCGUGAACCACGACAUGCGCUACAUCUUCUGGGGCGACUUCCCUGCGCAUCAACCGGAACUCAUCAACUCCAGCCACUGGGACAGGAUGCUCGACAGUGAUGCCCCCUUCGCAUGCAAGUUUGGCCAGGACGACCCAGUGCUUGACAGGAUCGACGUAGGGCUCCUGUCGCGGCAGCCCGGCAUGCUUGCCCCCGGCAGCUGGAGCAUCGGUGAUACCGGCGGCGAUGGCUCCUUCUGGAUCGUGAGGGACGCGACGCCACUGCGUCCUGGCCCUGGAGCAGCCCGGCUGCAGCGGCUCGUCACGUCGCUCUUGUCUGAGGACAACUUCCGGCCAAAUCAGUGCAAGUUAGUCGAUGACAACGCCUGA